Molecule: long non-coding RNA, 804 nt
Organism: Nematostella vectensis (starlet sea anemone)
Lineage: Eukaryota; Metazoa; Cnidaria; Anthozoa; Actiniaria; Edwardsiidae
Exons: 2
Source: RefSeq, a predicted model, not a curated record
UAACAUCUUGCGUCGCAAUCGAAUCCACGAAAUAACACCAAUUCAAAGCAAUCGGCGGCCAACUACCGAAUCAUUCUGAUAAACUUGAAUUAAAAGAUUUUCACUAUUUGUCGCUUCAUGCCAGCUAUUUGCGACCUUUUUGUGAGUGUUUCUAUGAUUGAGUGACGGACGCGUCAGAUUCUCGCCGACGAAUAAAUGAACCCCAGCCAUGCUGUAGCCUACUGGCAAUUACUCAACCACACGUAGGGUCCGUGCUAUCGUUCUUAUUCACAACAAAUGAGCCCUGCACGCCUCGGUCUCUCAUAUCACCAGGGUGGGGUCGGCCGUAGGGUCCGAAUUUCGUGCCAUGAAUGCGUCACACCUGUAGCUGACCUCUAUCAUGUCUCCAAACAACAAAUACCCCACACAAAAAGUCGAUGAUGUAACGACCUUGAAAGACUACACACCAGGACCUAGGUACCUUAAGGCAAACCUGUAUAAUGUGACCACCACGGAAGACAAGACACAAGAACCUGUUAAGAGACCUGCAUAAUAUGACCACCUCAUGAGAAAACACCAGAACCUGUAGCCCGAGCUACAUAAUGUGACCCUUAAUUAAAAGAAAACACAAACCUGUGACCGUCCCACAACACACCAAAAGACACAAUUUUGAACAGAAGAUGAGUAAAGACUGCCAACAUCCCGGAAGGCGAAGACCUGUGUAUUGAUACGUGACAUUCAAGAUCUUUUAGAACAUUGGUAGUCGACCUGUAUAACGUGACCCUUGUUCGAAAAUAUGUAAUAAAAAUAAUAAUUUUAAAUCAG